This 16951-nucleotide long non-coding RNA is filed under the name Eucalyptus grandis. RNAcentral describes it as "long non-coding RNA (EGRA_LNC003172)". Lineage: Eukaryota; Viridiplantae; Streptophyta; Magnoliopsida; Myrtales; Myrtaceae. The record is from RNAcentral.
ACAUGUCGCCCCCCGAGGUGGCCGCCCACCUCCCUGCCCGGACCCUUGAGUCGGCCGAGAUCAUCGACCUGGUCCUCUGUUGCCUCACGAGCCACUCGCUCCUUGCGUGCAAGUCCGAGACACUCAACAAUGGGAGGACUGUGGAGAGGCGGUACGCAAUAUCGCCGGCCGGGAAGUACUACGUCAGGGAUGAGGAUGGCAGCUCCGUCGGCUCGCUCUCUCUCUCUCUUCGCCUUCCACCGAGCUACCAUUGACGUCUGGUGAAUGGAAAUUCCUUCGUCUGUGAAUAUAUGACCUAUAUAUGAUAUGAAAGAUAUUACUUGGGACAGGCUCAAGAUGCACUGUCAUCUUAAAACCCAACAAGAGAGAAAUUAGAUCGAGCGAUGAAAUUUGAAUAAAAAAAAAACCUUAUUUACCUUUUUGGCAAUUACAGGCUCCAAUUCAAGGAAGCAAUUUUGGGAGGAGGAGGCAACUUGUUCCAAAAGGUCCAUGGCAAGACCAUUUUCCAGUGCAUGAAGGAGGACUCGUCCCUGAACAAGCACUUCAACGACGCGAUGGCCGGCCUCUCCACGACGCAGACGAGGAAGAUCCUCGAGGUCUACCACGGGUUCGACAGGAUCAUGACUCUAGUUGACGUCGGUGGCGGAAAAGGCGCGACACUUAACAUGAUUGUCUCAAAGUACCCCUCGAUCAAGGGCAUCAACUUCGAUUUGGCCCAAGUCAUCGAACAUGCCCCUUCCUAUCCCGGUACAUUAAUUAUCACAUGCUUCCCUGACUUAGUUGCGCUUAUUUAGGUUCCAAUUAUUUAGCACAAAAUCAUGUUUGCCAAAAAUUAGAGGCGUUAUUGUUCCCAAAUUAGGCCUACAAUUACAUUAGUAAAAAUGGCGCGCAGGCGUGGAGCACGUCGGAGGGGACAUGUUCCUGAGUGUCCCGGAGGGCGACGCGAUCAUGAUUAAGGCAAGCUUCGUCAAUCCUUCUCAUUAAUUAUACUACUCGAACGCGAGCCAUGUCCUAACUUUAUAUGACUCCGCAAAUUGGGCAGGGCACGUGCCACAAUUGGAGCGACGAGUCUUGCAUAAAGUUACUGAAGAACUGUUACAAGGCGUUGCCGGCGAAUGGGAAGGUGAUCGUGAUGGACUUCAUAAUGCCAGACGAGCCGGAGGAUACAAUGGCGUCUCGAUACGUGUCACUGCUCGACAACGCCAUGUUGAUCCAGCCAGGAGGGAAGGAGAGGACCGAGAAGCAGUUCGAGUACCUGUGCAGAGAAGCAGGAUUCACAGGCUUUAAGGUCGCUGCCCGAGCUGUGUCUGCACUGGGAGUGAUUGAAUUCACCAAGUGAUCGAAUGGAACUCCAUGAUGCUUCUGGUAUGAUGUUCUUUCUUUUCUUCUUAGCCUCUGUCGGAUUUGUACCUCUUUGUCCAGGACCAGGUGGUCUUAUCUCGUGUGCACGAAGCAAAUAGGCAUUGUGGAAUUCAAUGAAUAUGAAAUGCCUUGGCAGGGAUUUUUCUGCCAUCAAGAUUUUUCUCUUUUGGUUUAGCCUUAGCUCUCUUUAUAGAUGAGGUUAAUACUAUGAAAAACUCUAAACCAAUACACUUAUAACGAAUUUAUCCCGAAAUUUAUUUUUUGACCACCAAAAACUUCAACUAGUAUACCUACGAAAAAUCUACCCAAACCGGUAAACAUCUAACAAAUGGAGGAUAAAACCUUAAAUCGAUACAUCUGCCACAUAAUAUUCGACUCAACAAUUUGAUAGUAAAAUUUAACGAAAACUAAAUGAAUGUAAAUUUAUUACAAGUAUAUCAAUUUAAGAUUUUUCGUGAUAUUAAUCUUUUUUUAUAUAAGUGUUGACACCUAAAUUUUGGCGACCCGCUUAGUCAUUUAUUGCAUUAAAAAAUUAAGGGUUAAUUUUAUUCCGGAAAAAAUAGUUAAUUGCAUAGCAUAUAAUUUUAGGUGCAUUUGUUUCUUAAUUUGCAUUUACAUUGGGUCGGUGACAAAUGGGUUUGAUUUAGUAGUUCUAAGCUUUAAUUUGGCAGGUCGGACUAAGCCCACGAAGCAAGUAAAUUGGCCCGAGCCCGUUUUCUUUUAAUGACAAGAAUUACCUAAAUUGAGAUUUGAAAUAAUAUUACGGUGGAUUUUUGGAAUUUAAGAAAAUCGGGUUGCAAUCUUAUCUUUAGGUGAUAAAAUCAGGAGAUGUGGAAAAUAAAAGAAAAGUGAUAUUGCGUGCGAAAAAGAAAUCUUCGCGGAUGCUGAUUUGAAAAGGAAAAUAAAACCCUAAUCUUCAGCCUAUAAAAAGGUUUUCGCGUAGGGUUUCAGUGGAGGCCACACACAUUGAAUAUACGGCCACAAUAUAGAGAGAAAACACAUGUGAGAGAGAGGAAUGUUCGGCCAAGCAUCACGUGGCUGCAACCUUGCUAACCCCACGGCUGAGCUUCAUAUCGCGUGCACCAUGAGACGGUGACCAUUGCCGCGCCUCCUCGUCAACAACGAAGCCGUGAAGCCUUGCUCGAGCUGCUGUCCCGACGUGCCCCGAGCUCUACCCUCAUCGUUGAGUUCCAGCAGUCCCAGGAGAGGUUCUUUUGCCGAAAGUAUUCAAGUUGAAUAUUAUCCAGUCAAAGAAGACAAUUCCGCAGAAGAUCCAUUCUCUGACUUGCAAAAUAUGUCAGAGCCAACGUGGUGAAGUCCGAACUCCAAAUUCAGUCGUGUGGGCAAAAAGGAUCAAUCCACAAUUCGACGCGUUCACUCAUCAUCAAAGGCCACCUGUUCUGCCUCGCCUACAAGUCAUCCCAUACAACGUUCCUGAUUCAAGCAGCCACGAUCCUGUCGUUGCCAAUUGCCCACAAUCGCCGAUCCAGAGAGGACAAGAGAGUGACCAAAAGCAUAAAAAAAAAAAAAAAAAAAAAAAGAGAAGCCUUUGAAGCGGUGCUCUUUGUCUGGAGUGGUCCAAGGCGAGAGAAGCAGAGGAAGCUUUUUGCCAAAAAGACAAGAAAGGGGAAGCCGAUCCUUCAUCAAUAUCACAUAUUUGCAUUCCACUAACAUUCUUUUCUUAAUUCUUUUUUUCAGGUUCUGCCCACAUCCUCGUCAUUGUAGAAAACGCCAAGGAGAGACCCCACAUUUGAGUAUUAACAAAUCCCAAGAGGCUUCACGGAGAUCCUCAAUGCGAGUCCCAGUCUCGGUAAAUCACGUCCACCGUGGGUCAACAAUCGCAAGCCGAGCAAACCUGCUUUGCCGUCCUUGUCCUUUGCUGUCGACGUGCCUCAACGAAUUGAAGACAUUGAUGAGCCACUUGUGAUCCACCACGAGACAACUUGUUCUCCUAACGCCGUGCCGAGCCUAUCGCGAGUUCAUCCAUGAGCCGGGCCAUCCCGUAAAAGUUCUGCCUUUGUAGGUUCAUUGGCCAUAAACUGCCCAUCGCUGUCCCACCCGAAGCGCCGGUUGCAGUCCCGGUCCAAUUGCGCAAAGUCCAAAUUGGAAAUUAAUAUUCGGAAUAGGUAAAAAUUUUGAUUAUUUUAAUUUCCGAAAAUUCCGUUUCCUUAUUUGAUAUGUUUGUUGAUGCACAUGACCGAUAUUCGCAACUCGAGUAGUCUUCUAAAUUAGGAAAUCUUCCUAAUUCCGCAACGUGCAUAUGAUUGAUGGUCCGAUUUCAUGCUCGAAAUACGACCCGCAAUCGCACGGAAAAAUCACCAAUCCGAUCUCACGCUCGAGAUACGAUUCGUGAUUUUUAUUUAAAAAUUGACCGAUCCGAUCUCAUGCGCGAGAUACGAUUCGUCAAUUUAUUUCCAAAAUUAAAUGGACAUGGAUGAUAUCUUGCUUGAUUUGUUGCAGUGCUAUUCUCGAUGCCUUUAUUUGAUUGCUCCCGUAAGGGAAAAACCCAAAAAAAAAAAUAAUUGAGUUAGGUUAAAUGCAUGUUAGGAUGUUACUGGUUUUAAUGUUAUGUUGCAUGUUUAGGAUAGGAAAUUUAUUUCGAAUUUCUUAAAUAAAAAGACCAAAAACAUUAAUUUAGGAUAUCAUAUUUUCUUCUCAUUAAUUUAAAUUGCACGUUUAAUUAUUUGGCAAUUUUAAAUUUCGAAUUUCAUAAAAAAUUUAGAAUUAGGGCAGUUUUGCACGUCAUUGCAUAUUAUGAUAGAUUGCAUACUUAUUAGGAAAAUAAAAAUCAUGUGCACGUUUUAUAGAAUUAGGUUCAUACUAUGCACGUCAUUUAGUGAUUUUUGCUAGGCCCAUUUAAUUAGAAAUUACAUGUCAUUAGAAUUAGGUCAUUUAGUUAAUAUUGCAUUGCAUAUUGCAUGAUUUUCAUUAAUUAAGUGAAAAAAAAAAACAAAAAUUGCGUGUUAAUUAGAAACCAUAUCUAGGGUUGUUGAUGUGGAUUUUAAUUUAACAUUGCAGAUGCUUUCGUUGCUUUGAGGUAAGUCCUGCAAUUUAUUUAUUGCUUUACUUGGGUGUUAAAUUGGUGGUUUGCGCACCUGCAUGAACACCUCACAUGUUAGGUAAUUAGUUUAAAAUCAAUUCAAGCUGCCUGCAAAACCUUUUUUUUAAAUAAGAGAAAUGGUACCGAAAGGGCGUUAGAGAAAUCUAGCGUAAUCAAGUCCCCGUACCCAUAGUCUCUGGUUCGUAGAAGUAAAGUAAUUCUCCCGUUAUUUUACUUGGGUUUCUAAUCGACCCACCAAAAAUAGAUUAGUGGCGACUCCUAGUUAAAAUUCAAUUGCAUGUUAACAAUUCAAACCUAAGUCGCGAAUUGGUAUGGGCUUGGGAGAGCCCGAGUUAAGUCUAGGCUUAACAAUCCAUUAGCCAAACCCUAGGUGGUUCACACCCCGAUAAAUUGGUCGCGACAAUAAGUAAUAAGAUGAAACGUUUAAAAAUCAACGAAGUAAUGUCUAAACCCAAUGAUUCAAGGCAAAGAUAAAAUAUUUUGGAACAAGGGAAUAUCUUUUUUUUAAUUGUCUCGACAACUAGAUCAAGAAUAAGGAGUCCAAAUAUAUUCUAAAUGAGACAAAGAAAAAGGGGUUUGAAAAGAAUGUAUAUAAAUUCAUAUCUAAGGAAAAAAGUAUGAUAAGCAAUCAUAAAGCAAUCCCUAAGACUUAAUAAAUUUUAUCAUACAAUGUAUGUAAACCCAAUGCAAAGAGUUUUUCCGUAAUUUUUUUCAGUUGAUUUGAGAGAGAGAGAGAGAGAGAGAGAAAUUUGGUGAAAAUAUGUGCUUUAACUAAAAUUGAUGUGGAUAUGACCCCACCUUUUUUGUUAUUCUAUAAAAUCAAAUAUAUGAUUUUAAUUGUUUCUUUAAUAAUAUUUUAUUGUUGUAUAGUUUUAGAAAUUUGCUCAAGUUUAGUAAGUUUUAGUUUAAUAUAUUUGUUGAUAAUUGAUUAUCGUUUGUUAAAAUUAAGAUGUGGGUCUUAUAAUUUAAAUAAGUACUAAAAUUUUGAAGGGCCUUUCUUGUUUUUCCUUUUCUUUUUGUUUUUUUUUUCAUAUCGCAGACAAUGCCAAAAACAAUGGCGAAGUGAGUAGCUGUCAACCAUCAACCACCCGACUAUGGCUCUAGCACUCAAACCAUUGGAGAAGUUGCACUACUUUUUCCUCCAUACCAUCACAAGUAAACGAUAUUGACUCGAUAGCUAGUUCUUAACCAUCCAUUGGUUUUUUGCUUAGUCACCUUUUAUGAUAAUACAUACUAUACAAUUGAUCUUUUGAGUUGAACUUGCUUCAAACAAGAUAAUUAUCUUGCUCUUUUAGGUUGAGCUCAUUAUACAAGUUGGAUCAAUCACAACAGUCCAAUCCCACAAUUUUUAAUGGUGUUCUCAAUGUGGAAAAUUAGGGGGAAGCUUGACUAAUGGGAUGUCGACUUUGAGAAUUUGCACCCGCACUCACUAGAGAAAUCCAAUACACAUAAGUUACAUGAUUGGGACUAAGUGAGACUAGUUUUAUUGAGGCAUACUAGAUAACACCUACUAUGCACAUUGAACAUGGAUGCAUAUCUUCGAAUUGUCGCAUUCUAGAAGGCCGAAUCAAAGCUAUACCACCUUAUUCACCCACCAAAGCAACGGCGUCGCCUGUAUUUGAUUAAACAUGGAUCUAGGAAGAGAGUAAUUCAUAAUGAUCCAAUUAUCUUACACUACAACUAAAUGACGGAGAGCCGCUAUUCUAGUCACCUUACAAAACGCAAGCUUUCAUUUAAUCAGAUUUCCAAUCACUCAUUAAUUGCAGCUUGUCUUGAUGAGCAUCAUAAAAGUAAAAAAGGAAAAAAUAAGCAAGGGAAUUUUAUUUAUAUUUAUUUUAAAAUACUAUGGAAAAGUAACAAAAAAGUCAUAAGCCUAUUGCAUUUAUAUCAAUUCAGUCAUAAACUUUUUAAUUGAUCAAAUUUAGUCCUAAACAUUUUUACAUUGUACCAAUUGAGUACAUCCAAUCAAUUUUGGUUGGAAAUCAUCGACGUGAAUGUUGGCCAUCGUACUUUUUUUAAUAAUAUUCUAAUAAAAUUUUCAUUUUUUUUGAAAUUUUUUAUUUUUUUUGGUUUUUUUCUUUCUUUUUUAUUCUUUACUCUUUUUUUUCUUUUUAGCUGACUGAUAGCUAGGGCAAGGAAACCCUUGCUGGAGAAGAGACUUGAGGCUUCAAUCAAGCAAAUGACGCACCUGGUGAGGCGAAAUCAAGCUAGAGCAUUGUGAUUGCAGGCUGAAAAAGAAAGAAGAAGAUUCUCUCAGGCAAAUGGAGGUCAAUUCUAUGAGCUGCACCAAAAAAGACAGCGCGUCGAUCCAGACGAGGAGGAGCAAAGCCGCGACAGUCGGAGAAGCCAUUAGAGGGUGACAAUACAACAAGUGAGGGACACAAAACACAGGAAGGCGAAGAAGAGGAGGAGGAGGAGGAGGAGGCCAAACCUAGGAACCGACAGGGAAAAAGAUAAACACAAAAGAAAAAAAAAUAGGACUAGUGACCAAGAAGUCUCUGUCCGCCUACACAAAUUUGGUUUCAGAACAUUAAUUGAUCUGAGAGUUUUUUUGAAUGGCUUCGCUAUUUCUGAUAACUGGGAGAUAAACCUCGUUGCAUAAUGCAAUCUUCCCAAUAAAUUUUGAACUUCUUUGACAGUACAAGGAGGUUUCAAGUCGCAAAUGACCUUCACCUCAAUACCCCUACUACUAAUGACAUCCAAGAAACUUUCCAGACUUUGCCCCAAAUAUGCAUUUGGUGGGGUUAAGCCUCGACUUGAACUUUCUAAGUCUAUCAAACAACUUCCUCAAGACUUCAACGUGAUCUUUACCUUGUCUCAUUUUAAUGAUCAUGCCAUCGACAUAAAUUUCAAUUUCUUUAUGCAUCAUAUCUUGGAACAAUGCCACCAUAGCUCUUUGAUAAGUUGCCCCUAUAUUUUUCGGGCUAAAGGGCAUCACUUUAUAACAAAAGGUCCCCAUGAAUCGAUGAAAGAUAUCUUAAUCUUGUCUUCUUCCUUUGUUCGGAUUUGGUUAUAACAAGAGAAUCCAUCAAUAAAAGAGAAAAAUUCAAAUCCCGUCAUACUAUCAAUGAGGAUGUCGAUGUGUGGCAAAAGAAAAUCAUCCUUCGAACUUGCUUUGUUCAAGUCGUGAUAAUCAACGCAUACCCGGAUUCGUCCAUCUUUCUUCAUGAGGUUUUAAACUUCGUCUAUUUACCCAAGCCCAUUUUGUUAAAGUGUGCCUAUCGACCAAGAAGUCUUGAAGAUAUCAUGCAAUCUCUUUAAUCAAUCGGAUAAUUAUUCUGAAGGAAUAAGACACCAAAAGUACUUAUUCAUAAUGAAGCUCCACGCCCCCACUAAAGACAGAGAUCGGACAACUUUCUAUUAAAAGAAGGUAUAGCCAACUUCUUAUGAACCAGAAGCUUAUUUUCUGAAAUACAUGAAAAUAAAGUUGAAGUGUUGUCAAGCAUAUAAAAUAAGAAUCAUGAAAUCAGGAUAUUUGUAUCAAAAAGAAAAUAAUGAGCAUCUAUAAACAGUAACAAGCGAGAUCAACUCCUACCUAUGAUAAUAUUUUUAUAGCCUUGCCUGCUUCUUUCAUUGUUCUCUAAUCAAUUCCCGCAUAAGUUAGCAGCUUUUUUCCCUUUCUCCCAAUGCACAAAUCCUUCUACAACUGCCUUCCAUGUUUCCUUGUCCAGAGCACAUCCAUCAUGCACCAUAUCCUCAAAUACUCGAGCAGCUUUAUCUAUAUCUCCUUUCCUAAAGAAAUAUCAAACAAGAGUACUGAAAGUCGAAGCAUCAUCAGAAAUUCCUCUGGCCCGCAUGCUUAGGUAAAGCUGAUAAGCACGAUUUAUUUCGCCAUGACUAGCAAGGCCUUGAACGACUGCAUUGUGGAUUCUGACAUGAAUAGACCAAGUUAAACGAUUGGGACAGAUUCCUUCUAGUAUCAUCUCAUCAAGGGAGUUGGCACCAUCCUGAAAUUUGCACUUGUCACAAAAGCCGGGAAUGAUCUUGCCAUAAAGUCCUGCAUCUGGCUUCAAGGCUUUAAGCUUCAUCCUGUCAAGCGUCUACAAAGCUUCAUAAGCUUUCCCUUCUUUACAGAGCCCAUGGAUUAAAGUGCUGAAAGUUAUCAUGUUGGGCCUCAGCCAUUUCCUAACCAUCAUGUCCAAAAGGUCCAUUGCUUGAGAAGAACACCCACUCUUGCAAAAUCCAUCCAUUAAUGUACUGAAAGUAAAAACAUUAGGCUCAAUACCUUUUUUUUUUUUUUUGAUAACCGAGAACUCCACCACGGGCCUCCCAUACCCGAACGGCACCAAAGGGACGGGCCCCUAUAUCUCGAGGGAGACUAGCAUAGGACCCCACCACUAUGGCCCCCCACUUAAGACGUGUUAGCAGCCGCGGAGUUUCGACCCUGCAACCUCUGCGAUGAAGUGCCCAAAGCCGAACCAACUCAACUGCCCACCGAUGGGUCUCAAUACCUUUGCCCACCAUCUGUUCAAACAAUCCAAAAGCUUCAUCGAAAUUCUCAGAUUGACAAAGACCGUCAAUCGUGGAAGUGUAGGUGAUUACACUAGGUGAACAACCUUUUGUCUCCAUCUCUUCAAAUAGUUUCCUGGCAUCACCAAUUUUCCCCCAUUUACACAAUCCAUUUAUCAAAGUACCAUAUGUAAUCCAUCGUUCCACUGUUCUUGCAAAAAGCUUUGAUCAAAACAUUAAGGGAAGCAACAAUAGGUGAUACACCGAUCACCCUCAUGUGGUUUUCCUCGACAGGCAUAUCCAAAAUAGUGACAUAUGACUUGGGUGAAGGUUUGCAUUGGAAACAAUUCAUCGUCUGGAAUAUCCUCAAUGAAUCCAGCGGCCCAUGAACCCGCCCACAGCCUCUGCAGAUGGAGAGAAAUAUGUCUUCUGUAAGAUUACACUGCUGUUCUUUCAUUCUCUGAAGAAGCUUCUCUGCUGUCCAGAACUAAUAUGCAGAGACCAAUUUCGAUAUGAUAAGACUAAAGGUUUUCUCAUCAUGGCAAAAACCAUUACUAUGCUCUGCUGUUGCUGAAUCAAAGACCAGCAUUGCCCAUUGUACGUCCCUUUCAGCCCUAACAAGCUGCUCUACUUGGGACGUUGUAAUUUUAUUGGACCAUUUGAUUCUACUGGUCAUCGAAGCGAACUUUUUAGUCUAAUCACAGCUUAGGCGAAAUUGGAACAUUCGCUGACCCCCACUCACAAAGAGAUGAUCCACGUUGGGCUUUCCGCAGAGCGAGCCAAAUAACAAUCAUCUAAUAACUGUGCCAGUCACCACGAAUGCAGCAAUCUGCAUCAAACAAAGAUUUUAUUUCUCCCACGUAUAACUUACCAAGACUUUACAGUCAAUGAAAGAAGACAUAUCUUGCAGACAAGAGGGAAAAAAAACAUAUUUCAGCCUAACCAAUCUCUUAAAAGGGAAAAACAAGAAGAGGGUGCAAUCACAACUCCAAAGAUACACGCCUCUUCCACUCAUCAUCAAAUGGCUUGAGAAAGAAUCUGAUCUAGCAAUAAAAGCAAACGCAGAGAAAGCUUGACAAGAAAUUUUCAUCACGGUUCGCUCUUUGGACUCAUUUUUCGUAACAACACUUGAAGAACCGCAUCAAGAAGUUGAUUCUCUAGGUGGGUUGGGUCGGAUUACAUUGGAUAUCACAAUGCCAUUCAUCCUGAAACUCCCAUCAAACACAUGGUGUGCAAGGGAUGUUCAUCGAACGCGAUAAACACCGUCGCCGUCAGUGCGCUAAACAUCAUAGCUGAACCGUCGCUAGCAACAUGGGACAACCAAAAAGAACAUCGUAUCUUGAUAAGGAAGCCUGGACACUUUUAGCGACAAGGGGGUUGGAUGUGGCCGAGCGCCACAGUGAAAAAAGAAAAAUAAAUACUAAAAAGAAAAAAAAUUGCACUGUCCAUCGUCUUUUCCACGAGGAAAAACGGUACUUUCUCGUCCAGAAAACGAAGCUUCAAGAAGGUCGAGCCUGAGCAGCCGCCUCUCCAGCUCGAAGCUUGGCUUGUCUUACCACCAUGGCCAAGCUUCAAAACUCACGGCCGCCUUGACUGCUCUAGCUCAAAGCUUGGCUCAAAGCUUGGCUUGAGGGUCUGACCUUGUCCUUCCAAGCUCGCGGGUAGUUGCAAAAUGCCGAGAACAAGCUUCGAAGCGACUUGAAGGUCAAGCUUCAAAGCUUGCAGGAGGUCGCAAGCCACCAAGGCCAAGCCUUGAAACUCGCGACCUAUUAGAAUAAAAUAAAAUUGAUUGUUGAAAAUUUGAGCAUGUUGAAUUUGUUAUUAGUAUUCUUCAAGAUGCUUAAUCUAUGGUAGGUGUCAAAAAAGAUUGAAGACAAAUGAAUUUCAGCACGAUUUAUGGUGGGCUAUGAUUGAGUAGCCCCUCCACCAUACAAUGAGUAAUUGCUUUCAUAUUGAAAAAUGAGGGAGAAGUACACUAUCGAUGCCAUAAGUUGUGUACGGCACUCACUUUGGUGUCAAAACUUUCCGUCGGAUCACUUAAGUGCCAAAUCGGAGGAAAAACGAUCACUUUAGUGCCACCAGUGAGAAUUCCGGCUAAAAUGAUUACGUGACUUUAAAAAAAAAAAAAUCGACAAGGCCUUUAAACGACGUCGUUUUCGUCCUCCUUAAGAAAACAACGUCGUUUUGCCAUCCUAAGUGGAUGGCCUCGAGAAAACAACAUCGCACAACUCAUUUGGGUUUUUUUUGGGGGGGAUUGAAAUUAGGGUUUUUUUGUCCGAUCCUUGCCCAACGCCGGCCGCCGUCACUCGACCUCCGUCGCUCGACCGCCAUCGCUUGGCCUCCAUCACUCGGCUACCGUUGCUCGGCCAAAGUUGGUCAGCCUCCAUCGCUCGGGCCUCUGUCGUAAUAGCACCGUGUCCCAAUCUCGGUAACAUUUCACCAGCUUCAACGUUCUCAAAUUCUUCUAGCCAGGACCACGUCCAGCAGCUCUGAGUGGGCAUGGAGGGCGAGCCUCUAGCGGCUCUGACCUUCGAUCGCAAGCUAGUGGCGGCACACAAGGGAGCACCGGCCCAAGUCGCUGAAGCCUAGGUACUGGAAGACACAGGCCAAGCACUCGUCAGGGAGAUCAAAGAUGGAGAGGGAGAGAUCGGGGGCAGUGCACUCAUCGGCGGCCUCCUCAAGCACCGACCAAAUCACGGCCUUCAACUUGGCCGCCGAGUAGCCGUCGUCAAGGUUGGGGUCGAGGUCGGAGCCACAGCCGCCGAGUGACGGGGCCGUCGAGGACGGCGACUGGUCGGAGAUUUAGGGUUUUGAAUUGAGGGUGACACACUAAAUGACGUCAUUUUGUUGUUUAAAUGUUGACUGUACUCUCCGGCAAGCCACAUCAGCUUCAAAAAUUAAUAAAAAAAAGUGCCACGUCGGAUUUCCAGCUAAUCAAAUCGGAGUUGGCACCGAAGUGAGCAUUUUUCAAACUUUUUGGCACUUAAAGUGAUCCGACAGAAACUUUCGACACCAAAGUGAGCGCCGUACAAAAUUUAUGGCAUUGAUAGUAUACUUAUCCCCAAAAAUGAGGUCUUGUUUGUCUUUCCUUAGUCAAAGAACAUAAGGUUACUUUUUUGUCAAAAGGAGCAAAGACUUCAUGUCUUUAUCUCAUUUUUUUGUUGUGCGUUUUUCCUUCAGCUUUCUAGACUUUCUUGUUUUCUUCAUUUAAUGUUAGUUAAGUUAUGUACACUUUCAACUUCUUUAAAAGGUUGUGGACUUCAGAUUUGUAGCAACACUAAAGCCAAGAGCAUUUGUUUUUACUUUUUGUUGGUGCAAUUCAGCUAAAAUAAAAGGUUUUUUUUUUUUAAUUCGAACUGGUUUUUUUCUAUUAAGAUAAAAACGUAAAGGGGAAAAAAUAAAAAAAUUUAAAUUUUUGCACAUUUACCAUAAUUUUUUUUUAUGAUACCAAAAAUCAUAAAGAAACACAUUGAGACACAUUUAUUCUUCAUUACAAUUUCAUUCAAAAUAAUAAUAAAAAAGCUGACGUAAAUUUGAUGUGACACUUUUAGGCUAUUUUUGAUAGUUAAGAUAAAAUUUAGGAUAAGAUAAAUUUAUUAUGUUCUACAUUUGGUGGAUAUUUAAGAUAAAAUAAAAUUAGAUAUAAAAAGAAUAUAAACCAAAUAAAAUUAUUCCAUAAAGGAAGUGGGAUAAAGUGGAUAGAAUAUCUAAUAUUAAUAAUAAGAAAGUUAUUAUUUUUUUUCAACCACAAACUUAUUAAAUUAACAAAAUUAAAAUUAUAUUUCAAUAUAAUUAAUAUUUGAAUUUUAAUAUGAGAAAUUCAAAAUAACAAAAAAAUAACAAUUUAUUUUAAUUUAAUCUUAUUUUUAUUUAUAUAUUUGAAUUUAAUUACAUUUUAUAAUAUAAAUUCAAUAUAUAAAUUUAUAUAUAUACUUAUAUUUAUUACAUAUUUUAGGCAUUUUAGUAUUUUAGAUACAUUAGUACAGUUUAUUGUUUAAUAAACUAAUGAUGAAAGGAGAAGAAACAAAUAAAAAAAAAAGAUAUUAAUUAAAAAGAAGAGGAAAAUAAAAUAAAAAUAAAGUAUAAGAGAUUUUUUUGUAAAAUAUUUUUGUUCAUUUAUAUUAAUAUACCAUUUAUAUCAAAUAAUAAUAUAAUAUAAAUAUAUCCAAUUUUAUUACUAUAAUCAUCAAAUAAUUGAUAAGAUAUAAAUAAAUCUUAUCAUAUCUAAUUUUAUUUAACUAAAAAUUCGAAUGGUCAAAUGUAGCAUUAAGAAUAAGUGGGUCCCACGAGGCCGUAAGUGCGCACCACGUUUUUAUUUUUUUUUAUUUUUUUUAACAAAAGUUUGCACCACGUUAGAAAAGGUCAAAAAAAUCUAAAAAAGACGAAAGAAAUUGCACCGCCCAUCGUCUUCCUCCCGAGGAAGAACAGUACGAAGCUUCAAGAAUGUCGAGCGGGAGAGCUUGAGAGGCUGCCAUGGCCUCUCCACCUCGAAGCUUGGCUUGUCUGACCUCGACCUUCGAAACUCACAACCGCCAUGACCGCUCUAGCUAGAAGAUUGGCUUAAGGGUCUAAUUUAGUCCUUCAAAGCUUGCAGGUAGUCACCAGUUGCCAUGGCCAAGCUUCGAAUUCGCAGGUGGUCCCCAGCCGCCAUGGCCAAGCUUCGAAGCUCACCACUGCCAUGACCGCUCUAGCUCAAAUAUUGGCUUGAGGUAUGACCUCGACCUUUGAAGCUCGCGAGUAUUCGCAGACAGCCAAGGCCAAGUUUUGAAGCAGCUUGAAGGUCGAGCUUUGAAGCUCACAACCGCCAUGGCCGCUCAAGCUCACCGCUUGGCUUGAUCAUCUGUCCUUCAUCUUCAAACCUCGUGAAUGGUCGGGCAACCGCCAACCAGCACCAUCGGAGGAGUUUGGCCAAGAGAUUGAAGACGAUGAACGCGGUGAAUAGUACUUUGCAAAAGUAUCGGAGAAGACGACGACUGGUGCAAUUUUUUUUCUUUAUAGUUAUUAAUUUUUGGAGAAUGUGGCGCCACAUCAAAGCCACUUGCAAAAGUGUCACGUUUGAUUCAUAUUAAUUUUUAGAGAAAAAGCCACGAAAAAUCCUGAACUUUACCCAAAAUAACACAUUUACCCCAAACUUUUUUUUGUGACGUAAAAAACCUCAAACUUUCUAAACCGUGACACAUUUACCCCAUUAAGGGCAUUUUUGUCUUUUUAUUAUGUUUUUUCCUUUUUCUUUUUUUUCUUCUUUUCUUAUUCUUCCCUCCGCCGGCCAUGGCGGAGCCGGCGGAGGGAAGAAAAAGAAAAAAAAAAAUUUUAGAAAUUGGAAAAAACAUAAAAAAAAGACAAACAUGUUUUAAAAAUGAAAAGACCCAAAAGGCCUCUCGUUUUGGGGCAGAUAUGUCACGGUUUGGAAAGUUUGGGGUUUUUCACAUCCACAAAAAAAAGUUUUUGGCAAAUGUGUCACUUUGAGCAAAGUUCAGGAUUUUUUGUGGCUUUUUCCCCUAAUUUUUAAAGGUGAUUUUAGAUGGAACGGUAAGGAAGGGUUAUUGUGUAGAAUAAAUAUAAUUUAAAAUAUUUUGUGAUCUUUUCCCUUAUUUUAAAGAUAUCUUUGUCCGAUUGAUAUGAAUGUCCAGAAGUUGACGACGAUAGACAGGGAGGAGACUGACACUAGCCCAUGUUGCCAACCAGAUAAACGGGGAGGAGAUUGACACUAGCCCUUGUUGCCAACCAAAUUAUUAAAGUGACAAGUUGUGAGAGUUAAUGAAAAUGAUUAAUAUUACGAAAAAAACUCAAACCGGUAUACAUGUGACAAGUUUACUUCAAUACCUAAGAUAAUUUUAACUUGGAGUAAUUUUCUAAACAUCAAAAAUCUUGAAGUAAUGCAUUUAUUUCUGUUAAAUUAUAUAGUAUACUUAUGACAAAUGGAAUAUAAAAUUUCAAAUUAGUACACUACUUAAUUACCAAGUGUCAUCCAACUUAAUAAUUUAAUAGUAAAAUUUAAUGAAGACUAAAUAAAUAAAUAAAUAAACGUCUUUACCAAAAAAAAUUAUUAAAAGACUUUACCAAAAAAAAAAACGAUAAAUUUAUCACAAAUAUAUCAGUUUAGUGCUUUUGAUGUUCAAAAAUUAGUUCGGGGUAAAAUCGCCCAUUUACCAAUUUCAAGCUUUUCGUUAUAUUAACCUUAAUGAAAAAUAAAGUACUUUAAGGAUGAAUUUUAACCCUCUAGCAUGUCAAUUCCUUCAAAAAUACUCCUGGAAUUUUAAUGUGCUUUUUAAUAGUAUCUCACACGUCACAUAAUCAUAAAAUUUAACAAGAUGAUAUAUGCACAAUGAUCUACCUCACUUUGAUAUUCUACAAUUAGAAUAUCUAAAUAAUAAGUACCGCCUUCAUUCAUCAACCUAAGCUUUUAAAAGAGUCGGUAUUAGCCCUCAAAAAUUUCAUAUAAUAUCAAGGGAAAAUGUCACAAAUAAUCCUUGAACUUUUACUUAAUAUGCAAUAUCGUCCUUGAACUUUCGAUUUACUCAAUUUGGUCCCUAAAUUAUCGAUAAAUAUUCGAUCUAGUCCUUCCGUUCAAACCGUUAAGUGAGGAUUGUUUUUCAUUUCUUCUUUUUUUUCUUCUCUCUUCCCUCCGCCGGCCAUGGCAGAGCCAAUGGAGGGAAGCCAACAUCCAGCAAGGGUUGCCCUUGCUUGGGCUAGCUAGGGCCACCCUCACCAGUGUCGAGCGAGAGCCGUCCUUGCCUGCGUCGGGCAAGGACGGCCCUCACCCGACGUCGGCAGGGGCGGCCCUCGCCCGAUGCCGGCAAGGGUGGCCCUAGCCAGCCCAAGCGAGGGCGACCCUCGCUAGACGCCGGCUUCCCUCCACCAUGGUCGGCGGAGGGAAGAGAGAAGAAGAAGAAAAAAAAGAAAAGAAAAAUCAAAAUGCCCAAUUCCAUUAACUUUAACUAGCGGAAUGAUGAAAUUGGUCAAUUUUCAAAUAGUUAUGGGCUAAAUCGAACAUUUAUCGAUAGUUCAAUGACCAAAUUGAGUAAAUCGAAAGUUCAGGGACAAGAUUGCACAUUAAAUAAAAGACGAGGAAUUAUUUGUGACAUUUUCCCUAAUCUCAAAGUUAGGAGGUCUACGCACCUCAUCCAUCUUUGCCUUGUCAUCCACCGGUCCACGUUUGACUUUCCCUAAGCACCUAAACUACGAUGUAUCACGUGGUUUUGUAAUGUAAUGGACCCCAUUUAUGGCAGACCCCAUUUUCCAGCACUAACACUAGGCCAUCAAUAAUAUAUACAAUUACGUGAGGACUGUGCCCAAGAACCAAAGCUAUGAUGUCCCCCGUGGUGAUUUGUUUAGCAGAUGCAGUGGAUCCCAUGUACUUGUACCCCAUUUUCCUACAGCUGGCUAUCAAUAGGUCGUACCAGACAUUCCCGACACAUUGUUUAGUCUUCUUUUUUGGCCACUUGGGGACCUAAAUGUUCGCCUUUGAUUAUAAAAAGUGCCCAUCACCUUAUGUAUAUCCUCAAGGAAGCAACCGAGCACCCAUCCAAACUUUGCCUGACGCCAAAGCAUAGAGAGCGAAAAAUGAGUUCCGCUCAAAGCCAAGUGAAACCCUGCCAUGAAGAAGAAGAAGAAGACCCAUGCCUCAAAGCCCUCCUGUACUCUAGCUCUCAAGUCUUCCCAAGGAUCCUGCACGCCGCGGUCGAGCUCGACCUCUUCGGGAUCAUAGCCCGAGCGGGCCCCGGGGCCUACAUGUCGCCCCCCGAGGUGGCUGCCCACCUCCCUGCCCGGACCCCCGAGUCGGCCGAGAUCAUUGACCGGGUCCUCCGUUGCCUAGCAAGCCACUCGCUCCUUGCAUGCAAGUCCGAGACACUCGACGGCGGGAGGACUGUGGAGAGGCGGUACGCGAUAUCGCCGGCCGGGAAGUACUACGUCAGGGAUGAGGAUGGCACCUCCGUCGGCUCGCUCUCUCUCUUCGCCUUCCACCAAGCUACCAUUGACGUCUGGUGAGUGGAAAUUCCUUCGUCUGUGAAUACAUGACCUAUAUAUGAUAUGAAAGAUAUUACCUGGGACAGGCUCAAGAUACACUGUCAUCUUAAC